CCAAGCAGUGCCGGUGUUGGUGCAGUAUCACCAGGGAGGUACUGAGCUGAAAUGCAGAGUAAUCAGGCUUCAUCUUUAUCUGUGAAAAGAGACCUUAUGCUUCAGGAGAUAUGAAAAACAUCUAUCUGGAAUGAAGAGAUGGCAACAAGGUCACCAAAGGGAUGCAGCCAGAUGCAAAGGGCAGAAGCCCUACCACCGAGCACAGAAGUUUCUGAUAUGAUUUAUCCAGAGAAGCUGUGGAUGCCCCAUCCCUGGAGGUGCUCAAGGCCAGGUUCAUGGGGCUCUGGGCAGCCUGAGCUGUUGGGGGGGGCAGCCCUGCUCAUGGUGUGAGGCCUUCCAAUUCUGCCUGGGAGCAGGGCCACAGUGAGCUGCAUUUACACCCACCAAUUGCAGCAGCAACCUGGCUGUGAGUGAGGGGCAUUUCCAAUGUCACGUAAAUCAUCAGAUGAAAGAG
Molecule: long non-coding RNA, 454 nt
Filed under: Gallus gallus (chicken)
Lineage: Eukaryota; Metazoa; Chordata; Aves; Galliformes; Phasianidae
Description: lncRNA (ENSGALG00010021292.1)
Source: RNAcentral